Molecule: ribosomal RNA, 855 nt
Filed under: Bacillus subtilis
Lineage: Bacteria; Bacillati; Bacillota; Bacilli; Caryophanales; Bacillaceae
Description: bacterial SSU rRNA
Rfam family: Bacterial small subunit ribosomal RNA
Source: RNAcentral
GUCGAGCGGACAGAUGGGAGCUUGCUCCCUGAUGUUAGCGGCGGACGGGUGAGUAACACGUGGGUAACCUGCCUGUAAGACUGGGAUAACUCCGGGAAACCGGGGCUAAUACCGGAUGGUUGUUUGAACCGCAUGGUUCAAACAUAAAAGGUGGCUUCGGCUACCACUUACAGAUGGACCCGCGGCGCAUUAGCUAGUUGGUGAGGUAACGGCUCACCAAGGCGACGAUGCGUAGCCGACCUGAGAGGGUGAUCGGCCACACUGGGACUGAGACACGGCCCAGACUCCUACGGGAGGCAGCAGUAGGGAAUCUUCCGCAAUGGACGAAAGUCUGACGGAGCAACGCCGCGUGAGUGAUGAAGGUUUUCGGAUCGUAAAGCUCUGUUGUUAGGGAAGAACAAGUACCGUUCGAAUAGGGCGGUACCUUGACGGUACCUAACCAGAAAGCCACGGCUAACUACGUGCCAGCAGCCGCGGUAAUACGUAGGUGGCAAGCGUUGUCCGGAAUUAUUGGGCGUAAAGGGCUCGCAGGCGGUUUCUUAAGUCUGAUGUGAAAGCCCCCGGCUCAACCGGGGAGGGUCAUUGGAAACUGGGGAACUUGAGUGCAGAAGAGGAGAGUGGAAUUCCACGUGUAGCGGUGAAAUGCGUAGAGAUGUGGAGGAACACCAGUGGCGAAGGCGACUCUCUGGUCUGUAACUGACGCUGAGGAGCGAAAGCGUGGGGGAGCGAACAGGAUUAGAUACCCUGGUAGUCCACGCCGUAAACGAUGAGUGCUAAGUGUUAGGGGGUUUCCGCCCCUUAGUGCUGCAGCUAACGCAUUAAGCACUCCGCCUGGGGAGUACGGUCGCAAGACUG